AGCAGCCGCGGUAAUUCCAGCUCCAAUAGCGUAUAUUAAAGUUGUUGCAGUUAAAAAGCUCGUAGUUGAAUUUCGGGAUCAGACUGUCGGUCGUGCCUCGGUACGCACUGGCAUUAUUGGUUCUUACCUUCUGAAGAACCGCGAUGUCAUUAAUUUGGUGUCGUGGGGAAUCAGGACUGUUACUUUGAAAAAAUUAGAGUGUUUAAAGCAGGCGCACGCUUGAAUACAUUAGCAUGGAAUAAUGAAAUAGGACGUUUGAUUCUAUUUUGUUGGUUUCUAGGAUCGACGUAAUGAUUAAUAGGGAUAGUUGGGGGCAUUAGUAUUCAAUUGUCAGAGGUGAAAUUCUUGGAUUUAUUGAAGACUAACUACUGCGAAAGCAUUUGCCAAGGAUGUUUUCAUUAAUCGAGAACGAAAGUUAGGGGAUCGAAGACGAUCAGAUACCGUCGUAGUCUUAACCAUAAACUAUGCCGACUAGGGAUCGGAUGAUGUUAAUUUUAUAAUGACUCAUUCGGCGCCUUACG
This 521-nucleotide ribosomal RNA is filed under the name uncultured Glomus. RNAcentral describes it as "SSU rRNA". It matches the Rfam family "Eukaryotic small subunit ribosomal RNA", at positions 569 to 1092 of the family's 1831-position model. Lineage: Eukaryota; Fungi; Glomeromycota; Glomeromycetes; Glomerales; Glomeraceae. The record is from RNAcentral.